AUGAAAAUCGUCCAGUUUGUUGAAAUCCGGCACGCAUCGGUGUUGCCAGCACCGGGCAUGCGUAGACGAGGGACCUAUGCGAGCUGUACGCCAUGUCAGAGAAGUCAGAGGGGCCAGCAAAGAAGGACUCGACGACAGUUGUGGUGCCAAUCGACGUGGUGCCGAUGUCGCCUGCGGUUGUCGGAGUAG
This 189-nucleotide ribosomal RNA is filed under the name Triticum aestivum (bread wheat). Its description in RNAcentral is "partial small subunit ribosomal RNA". Lineage: Eukaryota; Viridiplantae; Streptophyta; Magnoliopsida; Poales; Poaceae. The record is from RNAcentral.